UUGCCCACUCUCUUUUGACACAACUAGUGUCCUCCUUUGUAAGUCCAUGUUCAGAUGGCAAUCCCUAUGUAGCCGAACUACGGAAACUCUGAUUCUCAUGUUCAGAUGAGAUACGUAGGCACAAGAUGCGAGGUCUUGCCGAGUUAGACUGACAACUAACAACUAAUCUUUGUUUGUUUUCGCCCUCGUUGCGAUCGAGACUUUCCCUUUCUCUUGCCCUAGUUGCAAUCGAGACUUUUGUUCCCGUUAGUUAGCCGAACUACGGUUUGCUCGGAUUCUCAUUCCAGAUGAGAUACGUAGGCAUAAGACGCGAUGUCUUAGCGAGCACACUCCUCUUUAACCCAUAGGUAGCCGAACUACGGCAACUCUGAUUCUCAUGUUCAGAUGAGAUACGUAGGCACAAGAUGUGAUGUCUUGCCGAGUUUGACUAACAACUAACAACUAAUCCUUGUUUGCUUUCGCCCUCGUUGCGAUCCUUUCUCUCGCCCUCGUUGCGAUCGAGACUUUCCUUUUUCUCUUGCCCU
RNAcentral lists this long non-coding RNA (524 nucleotides) under Lathyrus oleraceus (garden pea). RNAcentral describes it as "Pisum sativum (pea) long non-coding RNA (PSAT_LNC022133)". Lineage: Eukaryota; Viridiplantae; Streptophyta; Magnoliopsida; Fabales; Fabaceae. The record is from RNAcentral.